Molecule: ribosomal RNA, 252 nt
Filed under: uncultured bacterium
Lineage: Bacteria
Description: partial 16S ribosomal RNA
Rfam family: Bacterial small subunit ribosomal RNA
Source: RNAcentral
UACGUAGGUCCCGAGCGUUGUCCGGAUUUAUUGGGCGUAAAGCGAGCGCAGGUGGUUUAUUAAGUCUGGUGUAAAAGGCAGUGGCUCAACCAUUGUAUGCAUUGGAAACUGGUAGACUUGAGUGCAGGAGAGGAGAGUGGAAUUCUAUGUGUAGCGGUGAAAUGCGUAGAUAUAUGGAGGAACACCGGUGGCGAAAGCGGCUCUCAGGCCUGUAACUGACACUGAGGCUCGAAAGCGUGGGGAGCAAACAGG